CGAGCACGCGCGUGUGGCAUAUCAAUAAGCGGAGGAAAAGAAACUAACAAGGAUUCCCUUAGUAACGGCGAGUGAAGCGGGAAGAGCUCAAAUUUGAAAUCUUCAAGGUUCUACCUUGACGAAUUGUAGUUUAUAGAAGUGUUUUCUGUUAGUGGAGUGGCAAAAGUCCUUUGGAAUAGGACAUCAUAGAGGGUGAGAAUCCCGUAUUUGGUCAUUCCUCCUAGCGUUGUGAUACACUUUCAACGAGUCGGAUUGUUUGGGAAUGCAGUCCAAAAUGGGUGGCUAAAUUUCAUCUAAAGCUAAAUAUUGGCGAGAGACCGAUAGCGAACAAGUACCGUGAGGGAAAGAUGAAAAGAACUUUGAAAAGAGAGUUAAACAGUACGUGAAAUUGUCAAAAGGGAAGCGUUUGACACCAGUGUUGUUUUUCCGAAAAUCAAUUACGAAUGUUUUGUUUUUGAGGAGUUAUGACUUCAUCGGCUUGCUUCCUUUCUUUACUGAAACUUUCUUAAUGCACUUUUCGGUUAACAAGUCAACAUCAAUUUCUUUUGUUGUAAAAGGGUAUGAGGAAGGUGGCUUUCUUUUCGGAGAAAGUGUUUAUAGCCUUGUGCCUCUGCAAUCGGAGAGAUUGAGGUCUGCAGCGUAGAUCCUUCGGGGUUAGAUACGUUUGUGCUAAGUUAUAGCUUUUCAUAGACAACUUGUUGACUAUGUUUAGUCUUGUAGCUUACUCGCUGACGCUAUUUUACCUACGCUUAGGAUGUUGAACUCUAUCACACACAG
This 777-nucleotide ribosomal RNA is filed under the name uncultured Neocallimastigales. RNAcentral's name for it is "partial large subunit ribosomal RNA". It matches the Rfam family "Eukaryotic large subunit ribosomal RNA", at positions 19 to 621 of the family's 3401-position model. Lineage: Eukaryota; Fungi; Neocallimastigomycota; Neocallimastigomycetes; Neocallimastigales. The record is from RNAcentral.